This 484-nucleotide ribosomal RNA is filed under the name uncultured bacterium. Its description in RNAcentral is "partial 16S ribosomal RNA". It matches the Rfam family "Bacterial small subunit ribosomal RNA", at positions 30 to 507 of the family's 1533-position model. The record is from RNAcentral.
UGAACGCUGGCGGCAUGCCUUACACAUGCAAGUCGACCGGCAGCACGGGUGCUUGCACCUGGUGGCGAGUGGCGAACGGGUGAGUAAUACAUCGGAACAUGUCCUGUAGUGGGGGAUAGCCCGGCGAAAGCCGGAUUAAUACCGCAUACGAUCUACGGAUGAAAGCGGGGGACCUUCGGGCCUCGCGCUAUAGGGUUGGCCGAUGGCUGAUUAGCUAGUUGGUGGGGUAAAGGCCUACCAAGGCGACGAUCAGUAGCUGGUCUGAGAGGACGACCAGCCACACUGGGACUGAGACACGGCCCAGACUCCUACGGGAGGCAGCAGUGGGGAAUUUUGGACAAUGGGCGAAAGCCUGAUCCAGCAAUGCCGCGUGUGUGAAGAAGGCCUUCGGGUUGUAAAGCACUUUUGUCCGGAAAGAAAUCCUUGGCCCUAAUACGGUCGGGGGAUGACGGUACCGGAAGAAUAAGCACCGGCUAACUACGUG